CUCCCUUGGUGAGUCUGGCCAGGCUGUGUCACCUCUCCAUGCCUCAGCGUCCUCAUCUGCAAAGUGAGUAACAACAGAAUCUACCUCGGAGAUGGAUUAGAUGGAGUACUGCAUGUGAAGCAUUGAGGCCAAGGAACCACCUCAUUGUGCGUGCUCCAGGAAGAAAACGGGUGGACGGGAGCAACCACCUAAGCUAGGCUCGUAGGCCGGGUCCCGCGGAAGGAGCCUCACAAUGACCCCGUAACGGUGACUUGGCGAGUCACGGUCGCCGCGG
This 274-nucleotide long non-coding RNA is filed under the name Equus caballus (horse). RNAcentral describes it as "lncRNA (ENSECAG00000049561.1)". Lineage: Eukaryota; Metazoa; Chordata; Mammalia; Perissodactyla; Equidae. The record is from RNAcentral.